RNAcentral lists this ribosomal RNA (613 nucleotides) under Saccharomyces cerevisiae (brewer's yeast). Its description in RNAcentral is "partial large subunit ribosomal RNA". It matches the Rfam family "Eukaryotic large subunit ribosomal RNA", at positions 31 to 658 of the family's 3401-position model. The record is from RNAcentral. Lineage: Eukaryota; Fungi; Ascomycota; Saccharomycetes; Saccharomycetales; Saccharomycetaceae.
GAAAUAAGCAUAUCAAUAAGCGGAGGAAAAGAAACCAACCGGGAUUGCCUUAGUAACGGCGAGUGAAGCGGCAAAAGCUCAAAUUUGAAAUCUGGUACCUUCGGUGCCCGAGUUGUAAUUUGGAGAGGGCAACUUUGGGGCCGUUCCUUGUCUAUGUUCCUUGGAACAGGACGUCAUAGAGGGUGAGAAUCCCGUGUGGCGAGGAGUGCGGUUCUUUGUAAAGUGCCUUCGAAGAGUCGAGUUGUUUGGGAAUGCAGCUCUAAGUGGGUGGUAAAUUCCAUCUAAAGCUAAAUAUUGGCGAGAGACCGAUAGCGAACAAGUACAGUGAUGGAAAGAUGAAAAGAACUUUGAAAAGAGAGUGAAAAAGUACGUGAAAUUGUUGAAAGGGAAGGGCAUUUGAUCAGACAUGGUGUUUUGUGCCCUCUGCUCCUUGUGGGUAGGGGAAUCUCGCAUUUCACUGGGCCAGCAUCAGUUUUGGUGGCAGGAUAAAUCCAUAGGAAUGUAGCUUGCCUCGGUAAGUAUUAUAGCCUGUGGGAAUACUGCCAGCUGGGACUGAGGACUGCGACGUAAGUCAAGGAUGCUGGCAUAAUGGUUAUAUGCCGCCCGUCUUGAA